AUGAUUCAUCUGGGAGUCUGGAGAGAAAAAGCAGAAACCAAGUUGAGCUUCACAGAGAUCCUGACCCUUUUAGACGAGGAGAUGAGAGUAGGCAAAAGGAGAAAACAAAUGAGACGCGGGAAGGAAGAAGGAAAGAAGAAGGCAAAGCCUCUUAGCCUGGACAGGAACGUGAGCAGGAGACGUAGUUCUCAGGGCAUCUGUUACAAAUGUAGAGAAAGCCCUGGAUAUGGGCCGUGUCUCAUUUCCUUGCAGAAACCCCUCCUCUCUGAAAUGCAGUGGAAUGUAAGAAUUGCCCAUCUCAAGACCUCCGCGUCCUUCUGUAACAUCCCCGCUGGAGACGCUGCUCACUGUGUGACCUCAUGUCCGUUACGUAAAGACCCACUUGAUAAAUUUCUCCUUGAACACAGUGCCAGGAAAAUUUUCUUUUUCCAAUCUGAUUCCAGAGUUAUUGUACAAUGAAAAGUACACGAGCCAGAGUGUUUUGCUUUUAUCCAGGAAACUCAGCGAUAAAUCCAGGGUUUAACUGUAGUAAACAACUCAUCCCAGGUGCCUUGACACAGAUCGUUCUCUUUUUACUCUAGCUCCUUGGUCUUUGAGUUGCGUUCUGUUUUUAAUGUUUCCUUAGACUCCUUUGGGAAAUAGUAAGGUGUAAAUUUUCCCCAAAUAAGUCCAUGCAUGCAAACACAUAUACAUGAGAUAGAUGGCCUCUUCCUGUUCCUUUGUUACCAUCGCCACUGCUAUGUCCCCAGCCCAAGCUAAAUGCCAGACACUGGGAAUGCAGCGUUGAAAGGUGCUGCCUGUGAAUGACUCAUGGUUACUCUAUUGCAGGGAUAAGCUGGCGCACAAAAACGCGAAUGUAAGGGGGGAUAGGGUCAGUGCUCACACCAGGGAACAAAGGAAAGGCUAGCGGGGUCCAGAAGGAGGGCAAUUGAUUCUGGAAAGAGACAUCAGAAUGUGGAAACCUUCUUGGAUGGAAGGGAAUUUCAGCUGGACUGGGACGGAUGGAAAGGAUUUUGAAGGCAGAGGUAGAGGAGGAACAUCUCUGACAGAGAAAACAGUUUGAAUGAAGACUUGCACAGGAAAAAAAUAAAUCGCCCUCCACGUUUGGCAAAAACACUAGGAACUGAGUGGGUUGGCAGGUAGGAUACAUGAAGGAAUCAGUGGGAGCUGAGGAUAAGAUUCUUUCACAUGAUACACACUUUGUAAUUUAUAAACAGAAUUUGGGUUCAAGCCUGUAGUCCCAGCUACCCAGAGGCUGAGGGAGGAGGAUUGCUUGAGCCUAGGAGUUCAAGACCAGCCUGGGCCACAGAGCCAGACCCCAUUUCUUAAAAAAAAAAAAAAAAAAAUAGAACUGGGUUCAAUAUAUUCUUUUGUUCAACACCCCUGUGAAGUGUGGCAGGGGAGGUACAUUUCCUGUAAUGGAUCAGUAACCCGCUUACAGGGCAGUUAAUUCAUUCUAAGUGACACAGCCUGUAAGGGGAAACCCGCUGCCAAAUUUCCUACUCAUUUUACUCCAUGAAGUUUCAUCUCUGGAAACGAAGAAGAGGUUUGCAGGGCCAAGCUAGUUGAAACUCACCUUGGACUAAGAAUCAAAGCUUUUUCUUUCUUUCUUUCUUUCUUUUUCUUAAGAGGUGGGUGGGGGUGUUGACAAAGAGGAAAGGGAGGAACCCGCAAACGUAAUUUCAGCCGCAGUUCCCUUAACAACGCCUGCAGAUGGAUGAAUUUCCGCACAGUCCGGCUCUCUGUUCCUUUUCUGUUCCUGAAGAGAAACAAUGAGGGAGCGAGGGAUCCGCAGUGAUGUUUAUCUUUCCAGCUCUGAACUUUCAAAUUCUGGAAUCCCCCAGGGUUGGGGAAGGGUGGGCGCAGUCACUUCCCACCGUUGCGGAGGGAUGGGAGAUGUAGCCGCUCCUGUUGGGGCAUAGGGCGGGGUGUGUGAUUUCCUCCCAAAUCGGAAAUUUAUCUCCCGAAUGGGAGGCUGCAGAGAGUCAUCAAGGACUUAUCUCCAGGAGCAGACACCAGGGAGGAGCCCUGCCCAAUCCUUUACCCCAAAGGGGGCGUGCUUAGCCCGAGGAGGGAGAAGAGGGUCGCCAGCUAAGAGUCAGCACCAAGGGCACCCGCUCUCAUUCAUGUGUCAGUGAAGAAUUCCUGCCAGACUUCCAGUGCUGACCCGACCCUGGGCAGGAUCCCAGCUGCCCCUCCCAGAACACUCCAUGCCGCUGGAACUCAGGAGCACAGGUCACUUCUCUAAUUGAAAGCAAAGGGGAAUUUUGGUCCUUUCCUUGGGAUUGAGUCCAGAAUUCUGGGAUGAACAGCUCAGCUCCUAGAAAUUAUGCUCUGGAAUUUCCAAAAGCUCAACAAAUAGCCCCAACCUGCAGGGUUGUUUAUUGGGAUGAAGCAUCCUUUUACUACCCGAAGAACAUUACAACAGGAAGGAAGUCCUAUCCGCUUUUUAUAGAUGAGAGGCUAAAUACAUAUUCAAGCAUAUUAAUUAUAGUAUUUAAAUUUUCUAAGUCCUUAUUUUAUUUUAAAUCUGUCUUAUUAGACCUGAAGAUAGGCACACCUUCCUCUUGUUAUCUUCCUCCUCAUGUAUAUUCCCAAAGGUUUUUCCCUGUAUUUAUACAAGUCAUUAGCUUCUGUCCAUUUAUUUCA
Molecule: long non-coding RNA, 2649 nt
Organism: Aotus nancymaae (Ma's night monkey)
Lineage: Eukaryota; Metazoa; Chordata; Mammalia; Primates; Aotidae
Source: Ensembl